UUCAAUCGCCGGCGACCGGCGCACGGGUGAGUAACGCGUAUCCAACCUUCCGUACACUCAGGGAUAGCCUUUCGAAAGAAAGAUUAAUACCUGAUGGUAUGAUGAGAUUGCAUGAUGGCAUAGUUCUUCCGCAUGGUGGAACUAUUAAAGAAUUUCGGUCAUCGAUGGGGAUGCGUUCCAUUAGGUUGUUGGCGGGGUAACGGCCCACCAAGCCUUCGAUGGAUAGGGGUUCUGAGAGGAAGGUCCCCACAUUGGAACUGAGACACGGUCCAAACUCC
RNAcentral lists this ribosomal RNA (278 nucleotides) under uncultured Bacteroides sp. RNAcentral describes it as "partial 16S ribosomal RNA". It matches the Rfam family "Bacterial small subunit ribosomal RNA", at positions 79 to 339 of the family's 1533-position model. Lineage: Bacteria; Pseudomonadati; Bacteroidota; Bacteroidia; Bacteroidales; Bacteroidaceae. The record is from RNAcentral.